AAGACUAUACUUUCAGGGAUCAUUUCUAUAGUUCGUUACUAGAGAAGUUUCUCUGAACGUGUAGAGCACCGAGAUCAAUGGA
Molecule: small nucleolar RNA, 82 nt
Filed under: Pongo abelii (Sumatran orangutan)
Lineage: Eukaryota; Metazoa; Chordata; Mammalia; Primates; Hominidae
Description: Small nucleolar RNA U3 (ENSPPYG00000041319.1)
Rfam family: Small nucleolar RNA U3
About the family: Small nucleolar RNAs (snoRNAs) are involved in the processing and modification of rRNA in the nucleolus. There are two main classes of snoRNAs: the box C/D class, and the box H/ACA class. U3 snoRNA is a member of the box C/D class.
Source: Rfam by way of RNAcentral